AACGAACGCUGGCGGCAUGCCUGACACAUGCAAGUCGAACGAGACCUUCGGGUCUAGUGGCGCACGGGUGCGUAACGCGUGGGAACCUGCCCUUAGGUUCGGAAUAACUCCCCGAAAGGGGUGCUAAUACCGGAUAAUGUCUUCGGACCAAAGAUUUAUCGCCUUUGGAUGGGCCCGCGUUGGAUUAGCUAGUUGGUAGGGUAAAAGCCUACCAAGGCGACGAUCCAUAGCUGGUCUGAGAGGAUGAUCAGCCACACUGGGACUGAGACACGGCCCAGACUCCUACGGGAGGCAGCAGUGGGGAAUAUUGGACAGUGGGCGAAAGCCUGAUCCAGCAAUGCCGCGUGAGUGAUGAAGGCCUUAGGGUUGUAAAGCUCUUUUACCCGGGAUGAUAAUGACAGUACCGGGAGAAUAAGCUCCGGCUAACUCCGUG
RNAcentral lists this ribosomal RNA (433 nucleotides) under uncultured bacterium. RNAcentral describes it as "partial 16S ribosomal RNA". It matches the Rfam family "Bacterial small subunit ribosomal RNA", at positions 29 to 507 of the family's 1533-position model. The record is from RNAcentral.